Molecule: non-coding RNA, 97 nt
Filed under: Capsicum annuum
Lineage: Eukaryota; Viridiplantae; Streptophyta; Magnoliopsida; Solanales; Solanaceae
Description: Bacterial small subunit ribosomal RNA
Rfam family: Bacterial small subunit ribosomal RNA
Source: Rfam by way of RNAcentral
AAUGGCCGGGACAAAGGGUCGUGAUCCUGCGAGGGUGAGCUAGCCCCAAAAACCCGUCCUCAGUUCAGAUUGCAGGCUGCAACUCUCCUGCAUUUCA